CCGAGCGAGAUCAGCUCGUCCGGGAGGGAGCCAAGGGCUCCCCGGGUUCACAGGGCCGCGGCCCCAAGGGGAUGCUCUUCUCGCGUGCCCCGGGGUGCAGAAGCGGACUGCAAGGGCGGUGGGACCGGCCUGGGCCACGACUCUUGAAGCCUGAAAAGGUCAUCUUUACACCAGUGUAUAUCUCUGCCCAUAGGAGUUUAUUUUGUCAUUCUAGGUCUGAUGAGAAGGUCAUUGCUAAAAUGGUUAAUUGCCUGAGUUUCCUAUGCUGCAGAUGAUAUUCAAUGAUGACACACAAAAAAGAACAUUUGUAAAACUCCAGGAGAUGCAUCUUUCUGCUGAGAAAACAGCCAUUAUCAAAUAAACAUUCUAAAAUGUGAGCAUGAAGAUGGACAUCAAAGACAGUGAUCAGGGAAGAUGAGGCAGAAGCACAGUAGAGGAAGGUCAAUGAUACCCUCGUGGGCUUGGGACUAUCUCAGAUGGACAUGGUAGUAUUCCCUGAUCUACAUGCAUCUGUGAACUGGAGAAGACAACAGGCGCCAGCCAGGAAUGCUCACUACCACUGACCAAAUAAACAUACAUGGAAUUGCAAA
Long non-coding RNA from Jaculus jaculus (lesser Egyptian jerboa), 590 nucleotides. RefSeq lists it as uncharacterized. NCBI's taxonomy places the organism in Eukaryota, Metazoa, Chordata, Mammalia, Rodentia, Dipodidae. The transcript is spliced from 5 exons. The record is from RefSeq and is a predicted model, not a curated record.